CCUCAACAUCACCAGUGUGGACAUAUAAUGCUGAAGUUCUGGCAACAUGUAAGAAGAGGAAAUGUCUCUUCCACUGCUGCUAGAUGAAAGAAGGAGGCCCUAAUUCUUUGGAUGCUGGUCUAAAUUUGAUCCUAUUGUGAAGACUGGUUUGGACAUCAGAAGAUCCAAGAUAUCAGCUAGAAUGUUUUGACACACCUCAAAGGGAUUCAGCUUACUAUUAAGGCAGUGAUCCCAAGCCUUCCCAAUGGCCUGCCAUGGUCAUUGUUCCUGUGUGGGCCAUGGGUCACAGGCUUCCAGAAGCCCAUCUAUCAGGCUGAAUUUUUAGGGGACUAUCAUAGAGUGGGCAUUAUUUGCACAUCUAGUACACUUUUAAAAGUAGCUUUGGGAGAGCUGGCAAAUGCCUAGAAACACUGCCACCCAGGAAUCACACCUGCUCUUUCAAUAAUGACCCCAGAAGGUGUUAUGAAGUAUAGUUUUAAAAAUAAGACAAAAGGAAAGUACAAUCACUUGAAUUACUCAAAUUUAAUCGCUUUAGGUAAGAGCAAUGAUAACCCAAGGCAUCCUAAUGUUUGCCCUUUUGCUGUUCUGAUGUUCUCCUGGCCUUCCUUGUGCAAAGCCAUCAUUUUGAAGCCACUUGUCCUGUGCUGCUUGCUCUGCCACCUCUAUGAACCAGAAUGUGAAGCCUCCUGAUCCAGGAUACUCAGCAGGGUACACCAGAAAGUGUCUUUACUAUUUACUCUCCAUUAAGGAGGAACUGCUUAUGAACUCGGCCAAACCUGCAAUAGGUGAAGAGUCUGAAGUGAAGUUAACCUUGGAUUCCAGAGCACAGCAAUCACCAUUUCAUGACAAACCUCUAAUUUGAACUUGUCUGCAAAAUUGACCCUCUGUGCUCUACCACAUACAAAUUUAUUGCUCUUUAAAUUCCUAGGAUGUCAAAUAGUGAAAUUUGAAAAUGAAGUGAACUUUGCACUCCCUGAAGAGGUGCCGCGCUCCCUUUGCCAUUCAGUUUGCUUUGGGCCCCUCUUUUCCUGGCUUUUGCGCCAACUGUAAUCUUUAGUGUUCAUGUUGGAGCUAAGCCUCUUUUGGCCUUCCAUGUUUAAAUUAGGCUUUUAGUUUAGGUUUUUGUUGUUGUUGUUGUUGUUUUAAUUCCAG
This is a long non-coding RNA of Heterocephalus glaber (naked mole-rat), 1152 nucleotides long. Lineage: Eukaryota; Metazoa; Chordata; Mammalia; Rodentia; Bathyergidae. The record is from Ensembl.